Molecule: ribosomal RNA, 371 nt
Filed under: uncultured organism
Description: bacterial SSU rRNA
Rfam family: Bacterial small subunit ribosomal RNA
Source: RNAcentral
CAUGUGGGGCAAGCGUUGUUCGGAAUUACUGGGCAUAAAGGGUGCGUAGGUGGCUUGUUAAGUCAGGGGUGAAAUCCCGCGGCCCAACCGUGGAACUGCCUUUGAUACUGGCGAGCUUGAGUGCGUGAGGGGUAACCGGAACGAGCAGUGUAGCGGUGAAAUGCGUAGAUAUUACUCGGAAGGCCAAAGGCGAAGGCAGGUUACUGGUACGCAACUGACACUGAGGCACGAAAGCGUGGGGAGCAAACAGGAUUAGAUACCCUGGUAGUCCACGCCGUAAACGAUGAGCACUAGAUUGGUGGCACGCUACGUGUUGCCAGUCGCAGAAAAUUUAUUAAGUGCUCCGCCUGGGGAGUAUGGUCGCAAGGCUG